AGUAAACGAUAUGAUGCGGGCAGGACCUCUCGGGGUUACAGCCUUGCUGAAUUAUUCACCCUUGUCUUUUGCGUACUUCUUGUUUCCUUGGUGGGUUCGCCCACCACUAGGACAAACAUAAACCUUUUGUAAUUGCAAUCAGCGUCAGUAACAAAUUAAUAAUUACAACUUUCAACAACGGAUCUCUUGGUUCUGGCAUCGAUGAAGAACGCAGCGAAAUGCGAUAAGUAGUGUGAAUUGCAGAAUUCAGUGAAUCAUCGAAUCUUUGAACGCACAUUGCGCCCUUUGGUAUUCCAAAGGGCAUGCCUGUUCGAGCGUCAUUUGUACCCUCAAGCUUUGCUUGGUGUUGGGCGUCUUGUCUCUAGCUUUGCUGGAGACUCGCCUUAAAGUAAUUGGCAGCCGGCCUACUGGUUUCGGAGCGCAGCACAAGUCGCACUCUCUAUCAGCAAAGGUCUAGCAUCCAUUAAGCCUUUUUUCAACUUUUGACCUCGGAUCAGGUAGGGAUACCCGCUGAACUUAAGCAUAUCAAAAGCCGGGAGGAAAAAAAAAU
This 550-nucleotide small RNA is filed under the name Alternaria tenuissima. Its description in RNAcentral is "eukaryotic LSU rRNA". The stretch from base 167 to 320 matches the Rfam family "5.8S ribosomal RNA". Lineage: Eukaryota; Fungi; Ascomycota; Dothideomycetes; Pleosporales; Pleosporaceae. The record is from RNAcentral.